UACGUAGGUGACAAGCGUUGUCCGGAUUUACUGGGCGUAAAGAGCGCGCAGGCGGUCGGUCAAGUCGAGUGUGAAAGCCCCCGGCUCAACUGGGGAGGGUCACUCGAUACUGAUCGACUCGAAGGCAGGAGAGGGAAGUGGAAUUCCCGGUGUAGUGGUGAAAUGCGUAGAUAUCGGGAGGAACACCAGUGGCGAAGGCGACUUCCUGGCCUGUUCUUGACGCUGAGGAGCGAAAGCUAGGGGAGCAAACGGG
Molecule: ribosomal RNA, 253 nt
Filed under: uncultured bacterium
Lineage: Bacteria
Description: partial 16S ribosomal RNA
Rfam family: Bacterial small subunit ribosomal RNA
Source: RNAcentral